Molecule: non-coding RNA, 1004 nt
Organism: Amborella trichopoda
Lineage: Eukaryota; Viridiplantae; Streptophyta; Magnoliopsida; Amborellales; Amborellaceae
Source: RefSeq, a predicted model, not a curated record
AGGUGGUUCCACUACAAAAACAUGUAUUUCCCCCAUUCCGAGAUCCACUGAACAUCAUGAGAUGCCUCACACUCCAAAACCCUAAUUUCGCUCUCUACCCUACCCCCGCUUUUGUAACCCCUCACUCUGUAAUCCCUACCUCAACAAGGCUCUCAUCCACUGAACACCAUUCUACAUCAACAAUCCUUUCUCCUCCUCCUUCUGCAUAUCAUUCUCUCUCUAUAAUCCUUUCUUCUAGGAGGCUCCCUCGCCAUAUUCCCACUGCUCAACCACUGAAUGCGCUUUUCGUCCUCUCUCGCAACUCUCCGGCCUCAACAGGGGAUUACUCGACCUUCAUCCCACUUAGGGCCCAACGGAUACUUAGUUGAUGGUGGCAUUUCCAAAAAUGCGUUACAGAUUCGGAACAUUCGAUCUGCAUUCGGAAUUGGCCAGGACUGGUCUGGUUCCGACCAAUUAGUACGAUCAGGUCUGGUUGAGAGGAAGAACUCUUCCGAAAAUCAAGUCCUAUUAAAACUUGCGAGUGCUCGCAAUUUAUGAAGCAUGGUAAAAGCCCGGAAUCAAAACCGGUAUUCGCUGAUACUGUGCAGGCCUCCUGUUUCUCUAUUGGGUAACCAAUUUUGUGGUGCCAAACCUCGUUAUGCCCCAGGCCAAUACCAAUCAAACCCAAGAGGACUCGCCCCCACCUGUACAAGAAUCAUCCCAAGAUAAUAGUGCACCAACCUCCUCACAAACUAUCAAAACGACAUCAAACAAGAGUAGAUCGAAGAAACGUCGUAGCAAGAGCUCAAAGAGAUCAGAAUUGAUGAUUGAAACACAAUUUCCCAAGUUUAAAUCCCACCAUUAAACUACCCAAAGAAAAAGAGCUGAAUGAGAUGAUGACAUUGAUUUUUGGGCUCCAGUGGGGCAUUGCACAAGAAGAGGGUGACUCAACUUGUGUAAUUUGUUUGAAAGAUAUAUAAAUGAGAGAAGGGGAAUGGUUAGCAACUAAGUAGUAUUACUUUUUA